GUGACCACCUAGCCUGCGGCCAGAUCGCAGGAGGACCCGGGCUGCCUGCCUCGCCAUCCACUCUCACCUGAGCGAAGAAGGAAGCCCCAGGGCAGGGGCUGUCACCGUCCAGCGCCUCACUGUCACUCUCAGGGGCGGCAAGGCAAGAUAACUAUGGCCCAACAAAGCACAGCAAGCAGUAUGCAGGAGCCUGGUCACACUCAGGAGAGCUUAUUAUUAAAUGCCCAAGGAAUUUGCAAUUCAGUUGUUUAACCAGUCAUAGCUUGAAAUCAGCCUGGUGAACUGUGAACUUCCAGAUGUUCAAGCUGGUUUUAGAAAAGGCAGAGGAACCAGAGAUCAAAUUGGCAACAUUCACUGGAUCAUCGAAAAAGCAAGAGU
Bos taurus (domestic cattle) is the source of this 378-nucleotide long non-coding RNA. The record is from Ensembl. Lineage: Eukaryota; Metazoa; Chordata; Mammalia; Artiodactyla; Bovidae.